This 93-nucleotide non-coding RNA is filed under the name Deinococcus gobiensis. Its description in RNAcentral is "TPP sequence". It matches the Rfam family "TPP riboswitch aptamer (THI element)". Rfam says of the family: Vitamin B(1) in its active form thiamin pyrophosphate (TPP) is an essential coenzyme that is synthesised by coupling of pyrimidine and thiazole moieties in bacteria. The previously detected thiamin-regulatory element, thi box was extended, resulting in a new, highly conserved RNA secondary structure, the THI element, which is widely distributed in eubacteria and also occurs in some archaea. The record is from RNAcentral. Lineage: Bacteria; Thermotogati; Deinococcota; Deinococci; Deinococcales; Deinococcaceae.
GCGCGUCACCGGGGGUGCCCUUUGCGGGCUGAGACAUACCCCAGGAACCUGAUCCGGGUCAUUCCGGCGGAGGGAGCGUGACCGGGCCGGCCG